Molecule: unclassified non-coding RNA, 401 nt
Filed under: soil metagenome
Description: partial contains 5.8S ribosomal RNA, internal transcribed spacer 2, and large subunit ribosomal RNA
Rfam family: 5.8S ribosomal RNA (bases 1-121)
Source: RNAcentral
GAUGAAGAACGUAGCGAAAUGCGAUAAGUAGUGUGAAUUGCAGAAUUCAGUGAAUCAUCGAAUCUUUGAACGCACCUUGCGCCCUUUGGCUAUUCCGAAGGGCAUGCCUGUUUGAGUAUCGUGAACACCUCAACUCUCAUGGUUUGCCAUGAUGAGCUUGGACUUGGGGGUUUUGCUGGCCUUCGGUCGGCUCCUCUCAAACGGAUCAGCUUUCCAGUGUUUGGUGGCGUCACGGGUGUGAUAACUAUCUACGCCUGUGGUUUUCUGCCAGAUAACCUUCAGCGAUGGAGGUUCGCUGGGGCUCAUAAAUGUCUCUCUUCAGUGGAGACAGCUUUUUGGACGUUUGAUCUCAAAUCAGGUAGGACUACCCGCUGAACUUAAGCAUAUCAAUAAGCGGAGGA